AGCAAAACUUCAAAAAUGGUCUCAGUUCGGACUGUAGGCUGCAACUCGCCUACACGAAGUUGGAAUUGCUAGUAAUCGUGGAUCAGCAUGCCACGGUGAAUACGUUCCCGGGUCUUGUACACACCGCCCGUCACACCAUGGGAGCUGGUAACACCCGAAGUCAGUAGUCUAACCGCAAGGAGGACGCUGCCGAAGGUGGGAUUAGCGACUGGGGUGAAGUCGUAACAAGGUAUC
This 234-nucleotide ribosomal RNA is filed under the name uncultured bacterium. Its description in RNAcentral is "partial 16S ribosomal RNA". It matches the Rfam family "Bacterial small subunit ribosomal RNA", at positions 1266 to 1500 of the family's 1533-position model. The record is from RNAcentral.